Molecule: ribosomal RNA, 465 nt
Filed under: uncultured bacterium
Lineage: Bacteria
Description: partial 16S ribosomal RNA
Rfam family: Bacterial small subunit ribosomal RNA
Source: RNAcentral
CCUACGGGGAGCAGCAGUAGGGAAUCUUCCACAAUGGGCGAAAGCCUGAUGGAGCAACGCCGCGUGGGUGAAGAAGGUCUUCGGAUCGUAAAACCCUGUUGUUAGAGAAGAAAGUGCGUGAGAGUAACUGUUCACGUUUCGACGGUAUCUAACCAGAAAGCCACGGCUAACUACGUGCCAGCAGCCGCGGUAAUACGUAGGUGGCAAGCGUUAUCCGGAUUUAUUGGGCGUAAAGGGAACGCAGGCGGUCUUUUAAGUCUGAUGUGAAAGCCUUCGGCUUAACCGGAGUAGUGCAUUGGAAACUGGGAGACGUGAGUGCAGAAGAGGAGAGUGGAACUCCAGGUGUAGCGGUGAAAUGCGUAGAGAUAUGGAAGAAAACCAGUGGCGAAAGCGGCUCUCUGGUCUGUAACUGACGCUGAGGUUCGAAAGCGUGGGUAGCAAACAGGAUUAGAUACCCUAGUAGUC